AUUGAACGCUGGCGGCAGGCCUAACACAUGCAAGUCGAGCGGAUGAAGGGAGCUUUCUCCUGGAUUCAGCUGCGGACGGGUGAGUAAUGCCUACGAAUCUGCCUGGUAUUGGGGGAUAACGUCCGGACACGGGCGCUAAUACCGCAUACGUCCUGAGGGAGAAAGUGGGGGAUCUUCGGACCUCACGCUAUCAGAUGAGCCUAGGUCGGAUUAGCUAGUUGGUUGGGUAAAGGCCUACCAAGGCGACGAUCCGUAACUGGUCUGAGAGGAUGAUCAGUCACACUGGAACUGAGACACGGUCCAGACUCCUACGGGAGGCAGCAGUGGGGAAUAUUGGACAAUGGGCGAAAGCCUGAUCCAGCCAUGCCGCGUGUGUGAAGAAGGUCUUCGGAUUGUAAAGCACUGUAAGUUGGGAGGAAGGGCAGUAAGUGAAUACAUUGCUGUUUUGACGUUACCAACAGAAUAAGCACCGGCUAACUUCGUG
RNAcentral lists this ribosomal RNA (484 nucleotides) under uncultured bacterium. Its description in RNAcentral is "partial 16S ribosomal RNA". It matches the Rfam family "Bacterial small subunit ribosomal RNA", at positions 30 to 507 of the family's 1533-position model. The record is from RNAcentral.